Molecule: long non-coding RNA, 691 nt
Organism: Homo sapiens (human)
Lineage: Eukaryota; Metazoa; Chordata; Mammalia; Primates; Hominidae
Exons: 3
Source: RefSeq, a predicted model, not a curated record
CAUUAAUUUAGUGACUGUUACAGGGACUGCAAAGACGUCCUGCCCCUCUUCCACACUGCCACACUCUGCAUGUUACAGGGACUGGAGAGACUCCCUGCCCCUCUUCCACACUGCCACACUCUGCGUUAGAGGCUGCUGCCAUUUGGAACGGCUGAUGAUGAAGGGAUCUCACCCCAGGAUUUUCUCACAUCAGGGAUGCAGCAGCAGGAAUGGGACUGAGGGAGACAUAGAGCUCCCUAAUGCUGAAUCUCUUCCCUGUGCUGAAGAAAACUCCAGACCUCCCAGCCACUGGAACUAAAAUUGGCUAUGACUUUGUAGUCCUAUCUGGAUCACUUCCGCAGCCUGCAAUCCCAGCCCCAGCAGCCCCAUCUACUGCCUUGGGCAUUGAAUAGAGUCUUGUCCUGCUUAAUAGCAAAUGCUGCUCAGGCAUCCUGCUAGGUUUUUUACGGCCAGGGUAGAGGAGAGAAGAAAAGAGAAACGGCAGGCUUACAAGCAUCUUCUCUGCCUCUCUAAUAGCUAAGAAGCCUACAUUUCCAAUCUAAUUUAUUUUGGUUUCUGCUCUGAAACUUGGAACCCAGGUACAUUGACAGAUGCAGGAAAGGAGUGACUGUUCCUUGUACAUUCAGUGUGAGAUGUUGAGAACGGUGGGCUUAGGAGAAGGGCCAGAUGACACUACCAUCUUUGCAUUCAU